Peromyscus leucopus (white-footed mouse) is the source of this 1352-nucleotide long non-coding RNA. RefSeq lists it as uncharacterized. The transcript is spliced from 2 exons. The record is from RefSeq and is a predicted model, not a curated record. NCBI's taxonomy places the organism in Eukaryota, Metazoa, Chordata, Mammalia, Rodentia, Cricetidae.
GAUACUUUCGAGAAUUUGACUGAGCUAAUUAUUUACAUAGCCAUCCAUGUCCUUCUGAACUGUUUCAAAUAUUCUGUCUUUCAUACAAAAAGAUACAUGAUAAACUGAAGGUGGGUAACAGAUGCUGGAUAUAUGAUAUGUUUAUGAUCGAUAUAGAAAGAUAAAUAUAGUCGUUUGUUUCAAUGAGAGAUUUUGACAUAAGAGUUGUUGAAAACUCAUUAAUUAACAAACAUUCAUUCACUCAUUGUAAAUUCAUACAUAUAAUUCAUACAUACAAUAUUCAUAUGUAUUGAAUAAUUUUUCAAACAUGGAAGAUGGCCAUGAAACAUUUGAUGUAAAUCAAUGAGUGAUACUGUUUGUGUGUCAGUCUUAAGCUUCUCUGAUCAUUUAACUCUACAGGUAAAGAAAAGAAUAUUUGAGACUAUUUAUUAAGAAAAUUUGAAAUAUAUUAUUAUAAUUGUUUUUCUUUCAUUGUUGAAAAGGAAGGUGAGGGGUAGAUAAUAAUAUGAUGGAUCGUGUUCUAAGUCUAGGGCACUGCACUUGAUUUAAAUUUUCUGUGGAAUCAGUUUAUUUAGUCUCUUAAGUCCAAUCAUAAAGAUGUUUCUACUCCUAGAGGAUCACCAAUCUCUCUACUUGAGAAAAGCAGAGGAUGAGCCAACAGUCAAUGAGGCCUGGCUUUAUUCUUCUAAAGGGCCUUUAAAAUGAAAAUCAAACCAAAGGGGUAAGUCUGUCCCACGCAUAUAUUUUGAAAGGUACAUCUCUGGGUGCUGGUGGCUAAUGAGGAUAUUAGAUGACAGGUGGUCCGAUGCCCUCUGUGCUCUGAGUUAAACAUCACCUAAAGAGCAAUGCCUCUCCCACUACUGUAGAUUCCCACUCACUUUUUCUUUCUCAUCUCCUACUUGUUAAGAAGCUUUAUAAAGUACAUUAAAUGGAUUAGUCAAUAUAUCUUAUAUAGGAAGCUCUUUUAAAACAAUAUCGGAUUGAACAAUCUAAAACUAGUUUGUCUAGUUGCUACAAAGACUCUUAAUGUGUAUUCUCACUCUUUGCCUGAGGUCAUCAUUGAUUAGGAUCUGAUGAAUGUCAUUGUGGAACCAAGGGUUGAAUGAAGUAUUGCUUCCAGGAUUGCAAGCUACAUCCCCUGAAGUCCAGUAAAUGUGUAAACAUGCACAGAGCAAGGCCAACUGUCAUUGUCAAAGUACUUCCCACGGUCCCUAUCAUGAGAAGGCUAUGAUGUGCCUGUGGAGGAGACACACAUUAUGUAAUCAUUGUUCUGGCUGGAGUUACAGUGCAGGAGGCUGCAAGUUCAAUAUAAAUGAGUAAAUAUAAAUUUAUUAAAUGUCUUUAAAUAGAAA